This 434-nucleotide ribosomal RNA is filed under the name uncultured Lachnospiraceae bacterium. Its description in RNAcentral is "partial 16S ribosomal RNA". It matches the Rfam family "Bacterial small subunit ribosomal RNA", at positions 341 to 792 of the family's 1533-position model. Lineage: Bacteria; Bacillati; Bacillota; Clostridia; Lachnospirales; Lachnospiraceae. The record is from RNAcentral.
ACGGGAGGCAGCAGUGGGGAAUAUUGCACAAUGGGCGAAAGCCUGAUGCAGCGACGCCGCGUGAGUGAAGAAGUAUUUCGGUAUGUAAAGCUCUAUCAGCAGGGAAGAAAAUGACGGUACCUGACUAAGAAGCCCCGGCUAACUACGUGCCAGCAGCCGCGGUAAUACGUAGGGGGCAAGCGUUAUCCGGAUUUACUGGGUGUAAAGGGAGCGUAGACGGCUGUGUAAGUCUGAAGUGAAAGCCCCGGGCUCAACUCGGGAACUGCUUUGGAAACUAUAUAGCUAGAGUGCAGGAGAGGUAAGUGGAAUUCCUAGUGUAGCGGUGAGAUGCGUAGAUAUUAGGAAGAACACCAGUGGCGAAGGCGGUUAGCUGGACAAUAACUGACGCUGAGGCGCGAAAGCGUGGGUAGCAAACAGGAUUAGAUACCCUGGUA